AGAGUUUGAUCAUGGCUCAGAGUGAACGCUGGCGGUAGGCCUAACACAUGCAAGUCGAACGGCAGCACAGGAGAGCUUGCUCUCUGGGUGGCGAGUGGCGGACGGGUGAGGAAUACAUCGGAAUCUACUCUGUCGUGGGGGAUAACGUAGGGAAACUUACGCUAAUACCGCAUACGACCUACGGGUGAAAGUGGGGGACCGCAAGGCCUCACGCGAUUGAAUGAGCCGAUGUCGGAUUAGCUAGUUGGCGGGGUAAAGGCCCACCAAGGCGACGAUCCGUAGCUGGUCUGAGAGGAUGAUCAGCCACACUGGAACUGAGACACGGUCCAGACUCCUACGGGAGGCAGCAGUGGGGAAUAUUGGACAAUGGGCGCAAGCCUGAUCCAGCCAUACCGCGUGAGUGAAGAAGGCCCUCGGGUUGUAAAGCUCUUUCGCAAGGGAAGAAAACUUAUCCUCUAACAUAGGAUGAGGUUGACGGUACCUUGAUAAGAAGCACCGGCUAACUACGUGCCAGCAGCCGCGGUAAUAC
Molecule: ribosomal RNA, 529 nt
Filed under: uncultured bacterium
Lineage: Bacteria
Description: bacterial SSU rRNA
Rfam family: Bacterial small subunit ribosomal RNA
Source: RNAcentral